GACGAACGCUGGCGGCGUGCCUAACACAUGCAAGUCGAGCGGGGUCCAUCCAGUGGCAACACUGGGGAAGACCUAGCGGCGAACGGGUGAGUAACACGUGAGGAACCUGCCCCGAAGACCGGGAUAACCCGAGGAAACUCAAGCUAAUACCGGAUACCCCCACGAGAUCGCAUGGUCUUGUGAGGAAAUGUCUUUUCGCUUCGGGAGGGCCUCGCGGCCUAUCAGCUAGUUGGCGGGGUAACGGCCCACCAAGGCAUCGACGGGUAGCUGGUCUGAGAGGACGAUCAGCCACACUGGGACUGAGACACGGCCCAGACUCCUACGGGAGGCAGCAGUGGGGAAUCUUGCGCAAUGGGCGAAAGCCUGACGCAGCAACGCCGCGUGGGGGGACGAAGGGCUCUCGGGUUGUAAACCCCUUUCAGGAGGGACGAAAUUGACGGUACUCCAGAAGAAGCCCCGGCCAACUACGUGCCAGCAGCCGCGGUAAU
This 488-nucleotide ribosomal RNA is filed under the name uncultured bacterium. RNAcentral's name for it is "bacterial SSU rRNA". It matches the Rfam family "Bacterial small subunit ribosomal RNA", at positions 28 to 524 of the family's 1533-position model. The record is from RNAcentral.